Penaeus chinensis is the source of this 422-nucleotide long non-coding RNA. RefSeq lists it as uncharacterized. The record is from RefSeq and is a predicted model, not a curated record. NCBI's taxonomy places the organism in Eukaryota, Metazoa, Arthropoda, Malacostraca, Decapoda, Penaeidae. The transcript has 3 exons.
GGGAUUUAGUGUCAGAGCGGAAGGUGACGAGGAUGAAGGUCGCAAACGGAAUUUUGUCUCUCUUUCUUGUGUUGUCAUCGGUGAUCCUGAUGGUCAGUUCCUUGCCUGUCACCAUGGAAGGCGUAACAGACAGAGCAGCGUGUCCCUGUGCUGUGCCCCCGUGUCCAUGCGCCCCAGGAGGGUACCAAUAGAGAAAAAACAACAACAAGGCAUACAAGAAGUUUCAUAAAACCAACAAACAAACAAACACUCACGGGCAAGAGGUCUCACAUACUCACUAGAAAGAUUUAGGGGAAGAACGACGAGACAUGCAAAGGAGUCGUCACCAAGAGUCAUAAGGACGAUUUAAUAAUUUGGUUCUCGGUGGUACGUUUAAGAUAUUGCCAAUAUGUACUGGACUUGAUCAGUAAAUACCCUUCAUA